Molecule: small RNA, 163 nt
Filed under: Salvator merianae (Argentine black and white tegu)
Lineage: Eukaryota; Metazoa; Chordata; Lepidosauria; Squamata; Teiidae
Description: TUC338 (ENSSMRG00000014208.1)
Source: RNAcentral
GAGAGCCUAGUGCGGACUGAAGCUUUCUGUUUAUCCACAGAACAGAUACAGCAUGGGAAGAGGCCGUGCAAUGUCUCAGUUUGCCUAAACCCUGACCUGGAGGGACAACCACUAAGAAUAAGAGGUUAGUUCAGUGUCCAUCCGCCCUUGGUUUCAUGCUGAG